Long non-coding RNA from Humulus lupulus (European hop), 448 nucleotides. RefSeq lists it as uncharacterized. NCBI's taxonomy places the organism in Eukaryota, Viridiplantae, Streptophyta, Magnoliopsida, Rosales, Cannabaceae. The record is from RefSeq and is a predicted model, not a curated record. The transcript is spliced from 3 exons.
GUUUUCUUUUACCAGGAACAUUCUUUGGUUGGAUGAAUCCCCUCAUGCAGCGUGCAUAUCAAAGACCAAUAACAGAGAAGGAAGUGUGGAAGUUAGAUACUUGGGAUAGAACAGAAACACUGAAUGCUAAGUUCCAAGAAUGUUGGGUUAAAGAAUCUCAGAAGCCAAAGCCAUGGCUGUUAAAAGCAUUAAACAGUAGCCUUGGAGGAAGAUGUGACAAGCGAAAUAGAAAAUGAUACUUAAUUUUGAAGGCUUUGUGUUGGGCAGCUGUAGAAUAUUUUGUGCUUAAAGUAGUAACUUUUCAAUAUGUUGAAUAUUUAAGACUACUUGAAUACUUAAAGAACAUUUUGUUGUUGAUGACAGUGUUGAAUGUUUUAAACUAAUUUGUGGAUUGUUAAUACAAUGUUGAAUGUUUUUACUUUUUGUUAUUUGAGAAUCAAGUUCAUUU